GAUGAACGCUGGCGGCGUGCCUAAUACAUGCAAGUCGAGCGAACAUACUAGGAGCUUGCUCCUCUGACGUUAGCGGCGGACGGGUGAGUAACACGUGGAUAACCUACCUAUAAGACUGGGAUAACUUCGGGAAACCGGAGCUAAUACCGGAUAAUAUAUUGAACCGCAUGGUUCAAUAGUGAAAGACGGUUUUGCUGUCACUUAUAGAUGGAUCCGCGCCGCAUUAGCUAGUUGGUAAGGUAACGGCUUACCAAGGCAACGAUGCGUAGCCGACCUGAGAGGGUGAUCGGCCACACUGGAACUGAGACACGGUCCAGACUCCUACGGGAGGCAGCAGUAGGGAAUCUUACGCAAUGGGCGAAAGCCUGACGGAGCAACGCCGAGUGAGUGAUGAAGGUCUUCGGAUCGUAAAACGCUGUUAUUAGGGAAGAACAAAUGUGUAAGUAACUAUGCACGUCUUGACGGUACCUAAUCAGAAAGCCACGGCUAACUACGU
This 496-nucleotide ribosomal RNA is filed under the name uncultured bacterium. Its description in RNAcentral is "partial 16S ribosomal RNA". It matches the Rfam family "Bacterial small subunit ribosomal RNA", at positions 28 to 506 of the family's 1533-position model. The record is from RNAcentral.